Molecule: ribosomal RNA, 814 nt
Filed under: bacterium HTCC7202
Lineage: Bacteria
Description: bacterial SSU rRNA
Rfam family: Bacterial small subunit ribosomal RNA
Source: RNAcentral
ACCGGCGCACGGGUGCGUAACGCGUAUACAAUCUGCCUCUUACUGCGGGAUAGCCCAGAGAAAUUUGGAUUAAUACCGCAUGGUAUCAUAUUGCGGCAUCGUAUUUAUGAUUAAAGGUUACGGUAAGAGAUGAGUAUGCGUCCUAUUAGCUUGUUGGUAAGGUAACGGCUUACCAAGGCGACGAUAGGUAGGGGCCCUGAGAGGGGGAUCCCCCACACUGGUACUGAGACACGGACCAGACUCCUACGGGAGGCAGCAGUGAGGAAUAUUGGACAAUGGGGGCAACCCUGAUCCAGCCAUGCCGCGUGCAGGAAGACUGCCCUAUGGGUUGUAAACUGCUUUUGUACGGGAAGAAACCUUGCCACGUGUGGCGAGCUGACGGUACCGUAAGAAUAAGGACCGGCUAACUCCGUGCCAGCAGCCGCGGUAAUACGGAGGGUCCGAGCGUUAUCCGGAAUCAUUGGGUUUAAAGGGUCCGUAGGCGGGCGGCUAAGUCAGUGGUGAAAGUCUGUGGCUCAACCAUAGAAUUGCCAUUGAUACUGGUCGUCUUGAAUUGGUGUGAAGUGGUUAGAAUAAGUAGUGUAGCGGUGAAAUGCAUAGAUAUUACUUAGAAUACCGAUUGCGAAGGCAGAUCACUAACACUAUAUUGACGCUGAGGGACGAAAGCGUGGGGAGCGAACAGGAUUAGAUACCCUGGUAGUCCACGCCGUAAACGAUGGAUACUAGCUGUUCGGACUUCGGUCUGAGUGGCUAAGCGAAAGUGAUAAGUAUCCCACCUGGGGAGUACGUUCGCAAGAAUGAAACUCAAAGGAAU